This 875-nucleotide ribosomal RNA is filed under the name Escherichia coli. Its description in RNAcentral is "partial 23S ribosomal RNA". It matches the Rfam family "Bacterial large subunit ribosomal RNA", at positions 305 to 1185 of the family's 2925-position model. Lineage: Bacteria; Pseudomonadati; Pseudomonadota; Gammaproteobacteria; Enterobacterales; Enterobacteriaceae. The record is from RNAcentral.
AGAGCCUGAAUCAGUGUGUGUGUUAGUGGAAGCGUCUGGAAAGGCGCGCGAUACAGGGUGACAGCCCCGUACACAAAAAUGCACAUGCUGUGAGCUCGAUGAGUAGGGCGGGACACGUGGUAUCCUGUCUGAAUAUGGGGGGACCAUCCUCCAAGGCUAAAUACUCCUGACUGACCGAUAGUGAACCAGUACCGUGAGGGAAAGGCGAAAAGAACCCCGGCGAGGGGAGUGAAAAAGAACCUGAAACCGUGUACGUACAAGCAGUGGGAGCCUCUUUUAUGGGGUGACUGCGUACCUUUUGUAUAAUGGGUCAGCGACUUAUAUUCUGUAGCAAGGUUAACCGAAUAGGGGAGCCGAAGGGAAACCGAGUCUUAACUGGGCGUUAAGUUGCAGGGUAUAGACCCGAAACCCGGUGAUCUAGCCAUGGGCAGGUUGAAGGUUGGGUAACACUAACUGGAGGACCGAACCGACUAAUGUUGAAAAAUUAGCGGAUGACUUGUGGCUGGGGGUGAAAGGCCAAUCAAACCGGGAGAUAGCUGGUUCUCCCCGAAAGCUAUUUAGGUAGCGCCUCGUGAAUUCAUCUCCGGGGGUAGAGCACUGUUUCGGCAAGGGGGUCAUCCCGACUUACCAACCCGAUGCAAACUGCGAAUACCGGAGAAUGUUAUCACGGGAGACACACGGCGGGUGCUAACGUCCGUCGUGAAGAGGGAAACAACCCAGACCGCCAGCUAAGGUCCCAAAGUCAUGGUUAAGUGGGAAACGAUGUGGGAAGGCCCAGACAGCCAGGAUGUUGGCUUAGAAGCAGCCAUCAUUUAAAGAAAGCGUAAUAGCUCACUGGUCGAGUCGGCCUGCGCGGAAGAUGUAACGGGGCUAAA